Molecule: non-coding RNA, 9713 nt
Organism: Zonotrichia albicollis (white-throated sparrow)
Lineage: Eukaryota; Metazoa; Chordata; Aves; Passeriformes; Passerellidae
Source: RefSeq, a predicted model, not a curated record
AGCUGCAAAGCCUCAAGUACAAACCCUCUCCGUGUGCAUUUACAGUACUGGAUUUAUUGCACUUUUAUUGGGCAUUUACUGAAAUAAGUGAAGAGGUGUAAAGUUCACAAUAAAAAGAAAUUCCUUUCAUAGAGUUUUCAUGAUUCUUAUUAUUGUCUGAUAGCAGCAGUUUUGUGUAAGUUCUUAAACAAAUAGAUAAGAAUCACAGAUUUUAACCUUAGCCAGUGUUUAAAGAAAGGUGCACACUACUUUUUUUUAUCAAAUCACAACAUCAUGUAAGAGACAGAGCUCCCCAGCUUCCUGACAUUUUCUGUAGAAAGUAAUUUAAACAGAAAAUUGCAGGUUAAGAGCUAAUGAGUAAAACAGAUUAAAAUUGCAUGAACCAAAGCGACACAGAGAAUACAAUUGAAAAGACCCCAGAGCAAUAACACAGAAAUAUGGCUACAUGCAAAUAUGGUCCUUCUAAAGCACUGCUUGGGGACAAGAAAAAAUGUACUGGAGAAAACCCCCCUGCAACCCACUGUACAGCAACAACAUUAAGUCUAAGGUAAGCACAAGAGUCAGCUCCUUGCUCCUCUUUUUCCUCUGAAAAGUCUCUUUGACUGCAUUAAGGCCAACCUGAAGGCUCAAACGGGCAAUAUUUAGCAGCAGCUGUGGCUCUGUGCAGCUCCAGCCAGUUCUGUCCGUGCUGAACUGAAACCAGAGCAGUCACAGGGCCCUGCUUCCGCAUUUCCCUCUCCCUGACUCCGGGGCCAGGCGAGGGCUGGCACCAGAAUGGCACCGGCACUUGUUAGAGCAAGUGACUGGGUUUCACCCUCUGCUCCAGCACACAUUUUCUGUGUGACUGCAGUUUGCUCAGCUAAAAGCAGAAAUAGCAGCACUUUGGGUUUCAGCUGGCUGACCCUGGGGAGCCACCACCCCCCCAGGAAGAGGCCUUGUGCUGGCCUGCCCUGCCCACCAUAAUGCUCCACCACAUCCACUGAGGAAUAAGAGACAGCAGCCCUUUGCUGAGCAUCAGAAGAGAGCAGUCACAGCUCUUUCCUGGUCUCCCUGUAUUUGCAGCACACACAUUAUUCCUGUUCUUGCCUGGAGCAAAGCUAGUGCAAGGAAGCAGCCCAGGCAUCUCCCUUGUAAAAAAUAUCACUGUGUUCAACCCCUUGCCCUGCUGCUGCUGCUUCAUCCUCCUCCUCUCAGCCACCAAGCCUGGCUGGUGCCAAUUACCAGCUGCUUUUCCCAGCUGCAGCAAGCAUCUGCUGUGGCAGGAGGGAAGCAGAUGUGCAGAGACUUUGGCAGCUCAGGGCACACUGGGCACAGCAAGCAUCUGCUUUUGCCAGGGCCAGGCUGCUGGGUGCUGCAGGGCUAGGCUCUGCAGGUGCCCAACACCACCAGGGCCACACGCAGCUGGCCAAAGUGGCCACUGAAUGCACCCUAUGGCACUGGGAAAGGGCCUUUCACUGAUCUCCCUGGAGGGCACGGCUUUGAGGGCAUCUCCCAUCCUUCGUUCACAAGCCCAGCUCCCAGCUGGAAGCAGCACACAGCUCAUUUCACCCUACUCUCAGCAAAGUCUGCAGACAUUUCUGCACCUCAGGGGCAGCAUCUGCCCUUCAAGGUUUAUUUUGGAAUGUUUGUGAGGGAAGAGUAGCUUCCCCAAGCCUUCAAGAUGGCAGGUGCAUGUGUUGGCAUGGACCAUGCAGUCUGUGCCAUGGUUUCACAGGAGGGAAUGGGAAACAAUUGCCACAAAAUGUCUCAGCCAAAGCAAAUGAAAUUGCUUUGUAUAUUCAAAAAACCCCAAACAUUUAAAUUUUCAUGAGAAACUUGAAACAGAAAUUGGAAAUUAAAAACUACUGUUUGUACAACUGCCUUCUAUUGAUUAAAUUAUAGAAAACAGCCCUGAGUGAGGGCUGUGGAGAAACCAAUCACACACUCAGCAGACCAUCCAUCUCCAUUCCCCAAACAUAAUUAUAGCAAUAUGGGAGACAUGAAAAUACACUGCAAUCCUACACAAUAGUAAUAAAGAGCUGAAAAUAUUCGUGGAUUUGAAGAAAAGCUGUUGAGCAAAGCCAAUGCAACCAUCUUCUCGAGGAGCUAAAAUAUGCACAAUGAGUAAAAGAUUUUAAAAAAACCCACUGAAAACAAAGAAAUAUAAUUUUUCUUUCUUUGAAAAGAAAAAAAAAUGCAGGCCAUUGUAAUAUGUAUGAAAAAACGCUGUAGAGUUUGCAACUGCCCAUUUUUCCCACUUCAUGUGGUACCAAGGCUGUCUUAAAAUUAAAAGCUGCAAUAACACAGACCACAAAAAUCAAUCCUGCUCUAUGGAAGUAGUAAAAUUAUUGAUAGAAAACAGUCUUAUCAAGUUAAUUUAGACUCUGUUAUUUUCAUUACUGGAUUUAAGUAAGAGGAUCCAUCCCUUAAAGAAGGCCAGAACACUGUUACACAGAUUUUUAUAUGUAUGUAUGUGUAUAUAUAUCCACACACACAUGUAUGUAGAAUUUAGAAGCAAAUGGUCAGAAUUUACUAACUUAAAUAAAUCCUCAUCACAGAAUUUUUUUCCUACUACUGAUAAAGAAGAAAAACCUUAUUAAUGAGGCCUCAGUGGUAGUUACACUGCUGCCACUACACUGUGAGAGAUGGGCACUUUUUUUCCCAAGGAGGGUUUAACUGCUUUGUAGAUCCAUAACAAUAUUUCACAGAGAAAGCUUUAUUCAACUGGAGCUCUUAAACCUCCUUUGUGAAAUGUUGUGGUAUUUUGUCAGCUACGUGGCCUUUGCUAUGCACGUGACGCUGGUAGGUUUCUAGGCAUGCAAGUUCAAGAGCUUUAUUUUCCAGAUUUUUUUUCAAUCAAUUAAGCUCACUGGUAAGACUGCACACACUUCAGAAAGGCAGGAAAAGAAAAAUAACCACUAACUCUUUGUUCUGCAGCAGCAGCUGGAUUUGCUGCUGCUGUCUGUGCAGAGCAGCUUGGAUGCUGGCUUUGGCUGCCUGCAGGUUCACAGCCCUGGAAUGUUUCUGGUGGGCUUUUCCUCCUUCAUUAGGAACAUUCUUGUGAUGCGGGGGAUUCCUAUCAAAACUAUCAUCACCCUCACAACACGAGUCAUUCCCCAGCCUUUGGAUACAGACAGCUGCCAAGCUACAGAAAACAUAGCUGUGCCUCUAUAGAAUUCCUCACAGAGGGUUUUUUUCUUUUUCCCCUUACUGUUGCAUUUUAACGUGCUUAUAACACCCAGCCCCUAUGGGGGAGUGAACAAAAGGCCUUUUAAAGGCAAUCUUUCAGAAUGCUCCAAUUGUGCCCUUAAUUGCAUCUAAGUACAUGUGGGCUCAGUUCUAUGCGGACAUAGUUUUAGCUGUAGGUUGAUUUGAAGCAAGCCACACAUUUUAUACCAAAGCAAUGCAUAAAAGCACACACAAGAGAAGAAAGCUUUAAUUUAGUCACAUUACUACUGUAAGUAAUAAUGCAUAGCAAGCAAUAAUCAGAUGCAAGAAGUUUAGAGCAGAUGUUCCUUUUACUUUGAUUCUUGAGGCAGUGCAGUAGCAAUUUCUUCCUUUGUAAGAGACAUAGAUGAUUCAGUGCUAGUAAAAAAAGUGUUAGGCAUGAAGUUCUUCCACUUAAUAGCUGAAGAAUAAUUCACACUGUGAAAUGUGGGGCUGAACAAGAGCUUCCAGGUAUUUCCCCUCCCUGUACUAACAGCAUUUUGAAGGAGGCUUGGGGUUUAUCUUUGGGCUUAGGGUAUAGUUUAAAGUACUAUUUCUUCUAGAGUCUAUUCUUCACCCACCCCUUAGCCCUGUUAGAAUUUAGUUGCUUUCCAAAGAGGUGGGGAAUUGAAGACCACCCCCCUCAGAGUCUAUUGCUUGCCAUGUGUGGGGAAGAGGCUUGCUCCAGCCUGGGAAAACACCAACAACAGCCCAUGCAGGAAAAAGGAAAAGAGGCUCAGCAGGUUGGGCCACUGGAGGAGCAAGGAUCAGCUCCACGAUGCCUAGCUUUAGAGUGAUACCCUAGCUUUGAUGCGACAAUAUCCCAUCCAGCAAGGCAGGAUAUUGUCACAAAGUACACUGGGGCAGAGAUGGCAGUGCCUGCAGGAGAAUAUGGCUGUUGAAUGUGUGCUGCCCUUCCAGCAGCAUCAGCAGCUCCAAGCAGACCUUGGAAGUCACAUAGGAAGUAAGGGGAGAAAUCUCAGGCUGGCUCAUAUCACAGCAGUGUGGCACCUGUGUGCCCCUCCUCAAGAGCAGAGCCUAGGAAGGCUCUGCCACAGAAAACCCAGAAAACUCUCAGUCACAAAAAGAACCCAGGUUGUCACUGGGGAGCAAAUGGUGGCCUGGAGAUGCAGGGGGUGGUGAUGUGCAGCUGCAGAGGCCCCAAAAGUUCAACAAAUGCAGCCCUUAAGUGCUCACAAUGAGAGCAAAUGGUGAGAAGCCAAGAGCUUCCCACCAUUUGCUCCCAUUCCUGUCACCCACCUGCAGCAGCAUUAAUGCUUCCCACCACAGAGCUGCUCCCUGGGCAGUAGCUGAGGCAAAUCAUCUCUGCAAUAAGGCCUCCUCCAUUCCCUUCCUCCAUAAUGCUGCAACAUAUUGGGAGAAAGAGACGCAAGUUCCCCAAAACUCACAUUUUCCAAAUCAUAAACUGUCAAGGAAAAGCCUUUGCCGGAAUAGCUGCUCACUCCUGGUCUCUUCUCAUCAGCUUCCCCCCUACUCACACAGAUCCCUCAGCAUCUCUUCCAGCUCAGCACAGCACCACAGGGACCCAGGAGAAGCGGGAAGCAAAAACACAUGAAAAUGAAGUAAUGAGGCUAAUGCACAAGAUGGAGAUGGCCAGAUGCUGGGAUAUCAUUCUCUGCUUCUAGGGUGAGAAUUAGGCAUUGUGCUGAUGCAGAUGAACAGAGGAAGUUUGGAUUGCUGAGACCAUUUAAUAAACUAAGGGUAUGUCAUACACGACCCAACACUAUGGUGCUCUCUUUAGGUCCUCCCUUUCUUUCUACUACCUCUAUGCAUUAAUCCACCUUGACCAGGGCAGAGUAAGGAGGCAAGGAUUUAACUUCUUUCAGUAUUUGGAAAGCCCUAGGAUUAGUUCCCAUUUCAUCCCCUCACACCCCAUGCCCCCAGCAGCCAGGGUCACCAGACCACAGAAAAUGCAGAAGGCCCCUGUGCAUGGGUACCCACAGCAGCAGAGAAAGCGUGGUCCCAAAAAUGCCCCUUCUGACAGCCUUACCAACAUGGCUGUGCCCUCAGCUUUCUCGUCCAUGAAGGCACCUAUCACCCAUUCUUCUGUAGCUUAAGGCUUUUGCUCUAUGCGAGGGGCUCUGUUGGCCAAAAAGAAAAAUAAACUCUGAGCAGCCUCUCCUUUGCCCCUUGAGGAAGGGGACUUGGGGCACUUUUCUGGUUGGAAAGUGCCACAGCAGGGUGGCCAAGAUUAGGUGCUUCUGCUGCUGAUGGGGAAGCCCAGAGAGUGGAGCAGUGUCACCCACUCCUGGGCACAGCGACCCUGUCCUGCUGCACACACGCCCAGAGCACAGGGGGUUGUGAGCUGGGGCUUGUGAGAGCUGCUCAACUCCUGAGUGGCAUCAGUAAAAAAUAAAGUAUUUGUGGAUUUGUGGCAUCACAAAUGGGUCAUGAAGCACAAAGCUGACUCUCUGCUCUGCAAUAAACAUAGUUUUUCCUCUCUGAGGCUGCAGUUUGAUGUCUCUGCUCAUACUGGCUUCCACCCACCUCACCAGAAGCCACCACGGGCUGUCCAAGGAGGGGAGAGCUCUCAGCAAGGAGCCCCACAGCCAUAGCCAGGCUGGAUUUGCUAGGCAAGAACAAGAGCAGCUAAGAUAUGCCCCACCACACACACUCCCCUUCCCUCCCCUCACAUGCCGGAAGGAUUAUGGGGCCAGUGCAGGGAACUUCUUGUCCUGCCAGGGCAUAAACCUUCCUCUCCCGGUCUCCAGGAGGCACAAAGCAGCUCUGAGAGGUUGCAAGCAGACAGGCUUUAUAUGGAGUUCCCACAAACAUCACUGCUUUUAUUUAAGGCAGAAAACACAGGAUGUUACAGAUGAGUGGAAAAAUGUGAUGUGCCCCACUGCCUGCAGAGCCUCUCAGACUGGAGAAAGCUCUUCUGGAAGUCAGAGGGUCUCCAGACAGGAUUAGGAAAGCACAUAGUGUCUGCUCUGACAUUUUAUUUUUGCCCUGCUUGGCUGCAGCUACACCUCCGUGCACCCCACACGCAAACACCCUCACAGCUAGGGUCCCAUACCUCCCUUCCCGCUUACAACUUCCCACAGCCCUUUUGUAUCUGACUCCUGGGAGGCUCUUUUCAAACUUUUUUGGCAGCUCCCUCUCUUUGAAACACUGGAAAGCUACCAGUGAGAAGCCUGGCUCGGGCUGCCUGCCACCAGUGCUGGCAGCAGCUUGCUCCAUCCUCUGCCAGGCUCUGCCCCUCUGCAGGAGCCCAGGGGCAGCCCCAGCCACCCCUGCCCCUGCUCACCUUCACGGGGGCACCUCAGAGUGCUCAGGGCAUCAGUGGCUCUGUGGCACCUGCCAGCAUUCACAAAGUGCCAGAGAUCCCUGAACACUGACACCUGUCACAGAGCUCCCUUACACAGCUUUGGGGAGGAAUCAUCAAAAAAAUAUUUUAUUUAAUGCUUGUUUUCAUGAUCAUGCAUGACAAAUUUAGCCCAAGGUACAUUUUUCCCCCUAAUGUUGCCACAUGCUUUUUUCUUCUUCAAGUUAAAGAGAUGCCAGCCAACCUAACACAAUUAUUAAGAUAAACUGGAGAUAUUUCAAACGGUGGUUUCAGAAAAACAGCCUUACAACUUAACUUCCCACACAUUCAUUCACUGGUGCUCCUUUCCUUACCAGGACUGGAGAGCUAAAAAGCAGCAGAAGACUCCAGAGUAAGGCACAAAACACCCCUCUUCUGUUGAGCCAAAUUAGGCUCAGUGCUUUGACACUUCAUUUAUACCCCUUGAAACACCUGGCCCAGAGUACCUUCUGAUUGAUUACAAUUAAAAAUUCUUGAUUGGCUUGCCCCUAGUGACCACAUUAGUGACCACAAUUACAUGAUAUGGCCAAACAAGAGGCAGUUACUAUUUCUUAACCAUAUUUUUUUUUCAGUGUGGUAAGAUAACUAAGCAGUGUAUUUAAUGACAUACUAUUACUUGUAUGCUUAAGCACCUGAGUCCUUGAUCUUGUGCUUUAUAAAGUGCUCUGAGCUGUGCAGUAAUUGCCUAUAAAUAUGUUGCUGAUCAUGCUUAAAGGGACACUGUCAAGUUGGGAGGCCUACAGUUUGACUUAGUAAAAUUACAUCUUAAAAUAGUUUUAUUCUUAGUGUUUCUAAAUUACCAACUUGUGGGGCUUAUCAUGCUUCUUUUUAUCAGUCCAGCUCCUAGAAGUAAUAAGGUUAUGGGAGAAUGUUCACUUUUAAAUCAAUGGACCAGACAUAGGAAUUGUAUUGAUGGAGGCUAAUGUUCUCAUCCUGAACAUGCAAAUAAAAGCACUUUUCUAUAAAACUUAUUUUUCCUGAUGUGAAUAUGCAUGACCUCUAUUGCCCUUAUGGUUUGCUAUAAGGUCACCCCUUGUUGAACCUAUGUCUUGUGAAAGAAAUCUUCAAGAAAGAGUGCAAAGCUGAGGGCAUCAGGCCCGGGCAAGUCUGCAGCCUCACGAAGUGCCCAUUUUCCAUGGUGUCGCUUUGUCAGCCAGCAGACUUGUCCUAGCUGAGCUGAAGGGGAGGGGAUGCAAAAAGAGGGGGCUGGGGAAAAGAAUUACAAAGGCUGGUGAAGAGCCUGAAACUUCUCAUCCCCAGCAGAGCUGUUGGGAAUGCAGAGGAGCGAUGGGAUGGGGAAAACCCAGGGCUGAGAGCCCUUUCCCGCACAGUCUCUCCUGCGAGGGGCUCUGUGGCUGGAGCCCAGCAUCAGGGAAACUGAAGCCAGCUAUUGAGGAGCUUUUUGAUCUCAGGCAAAGAGCAGAACUGGACUUUUUCUUAAGGAAAGAAUACAAAUAGCUGAGGAGUGAAAGGUGGCCUGGGAAUUCUCCUUUUAUGAAGGGCUUGGUUUAUUUCCGAGCUGAAUAACUCAGCUCCCUGUGAGCUGCAGUUUUCCAGCACAGUCUGUACUCAUGGGAAACCUGCAAUGUCACAGUUACCAACUCCAUAGAUGUCAGUCAAUGAAAAAGUAUGGCUCAGUGGUGCCAGGGACAAUGCAAGGCAAAUGGGGAGAAGCUCUAAGCAAAGGCUGAGUGGAUACUGCCAGGGUGGCUGUGUAGAAAGGCACUUUUGGAAGAGGAGACAUGGCCUGUGCCCCCCUGCAUUAUCCAGCUAGCCUCUGUGCUGCAAGGUUUGAAGACAAAGCUCUGGAGUCUCCAGAGGCAUGGGCCUACAGCCAGGCUUCACCUCCCUUUCUCCCAGAAGGUGAAAGAUUUGUCGAUGCCCUAGAUAUGAGGCAAAGUUUUGGAUGUACUUACCCAUCACAGGUGUAUGUUGGGCAACUCUAGGGACUUGAGGGUAGCCUUGGAAAAAUUGUGUCAAACAAAACUCAGGAACAACAACAACAACAAACAGUAAAGAAAUGCCUCUGGGCCUGGGAGAAAGGCACACCUCCAGCAGCCAUGCCCAAAUCAGGGGCUGGUGAGUGCUUGUGGCUGGUGGCAUCACUUGAAGGUGCAGCUCCUCAAAGAGGUGGGAAGAGUAAAAAUCUUCUUUUUUUUUUUCUUAUUCACAGGCAAGAGAAGAAAGUAAAAGAAAAUCCUCCUGCUGAAGAUGCCACAGAACAGAAAAAGGCAAGUUCUAAUGUCAAUCUAAUGACAGAUAUGGCUCUAAGUUCCAGCAGGUGGGAAGGUGCUCCCCACACUUCCAGCAAGCAUCCAAGAGACCAGGACAGCGUAGGGGCUGUGUCUCUCACUUGGGCAAGCCUUGUAAGGUGUGAAUAUGGAUAUGGAUAAGCACUUGAAAAAAGUCUCAUGUGUUUAACACCAAAGAGUGCAUUUCAGGCUCUUAACAGUUACACUGAAACACUUGAAAGUGCAACUUGCAUACAUUUGAAGAGCUCCAGAAAACAUAAUAAAAGCCAGAUGAGCCCAAAGUCUUUCAAAGUACUUUAAAAAAAAUCUCAUGUUUUUAGGCAAAGCUAAUUUCUCUGAUUUGUUUUGAGCUGACUCAAUAAUUUUAAAUGGUUGUCUUUGAGAAUUGUAAGACCAGUUUAAUUUUUUUGUAGGUUUAUUCCACAGAAAUGCUUAAAAAGCAAUAAAGCCAAUCUCAAUAGCUUUGCUUAAAUCCAUGACUAUAUCAGUUCUGUGUUAUGGGUACACAGGGAGAAACUAACUGAGUAGGAAUUUGUAAGGGAUUCCUAUAACAAUAGUUACAUUGUUUGCACACAUACACACCAUAAUAAUAACAAGAGAAAAGCAAUAGCAACCUUGCAGUUACAAAAAUACCAAGUUCCCUUUAAAAAUGUACAUGUAUAUUCUGUGUUUACCCAGAUUAACAGUGUCGCUAGGGGCUGAUACUUCUGUAUGCUGUAUCUUCUGUCUGAUUUAUUCAAGUUUUUUUUUUUUUUUUUCUGGGCUUCUUUUCUUCAAAACUGUGCUUGCUUGUGCCUUAUGUUCACCAAGAGGAACCUAAGUUCCAUGAGUAAACACCUGGAAGCUGAGAACAGGAGUGUGUAAGAAACCUGGAUUAAUUUAACUACAGUGCCUUAUAAUGGAAAAUAUAAAUUUUCCUGCUGCAAUUGGUAUAUACAUUCAACAGUUUU